CCUACGGGGGGCAGCAGUGGGGAAUAUUGGACAAUGGGGGGAACCCUGAUCCAGCGACGCCGCGUGAGUGAAGAAGUAUUUCGGUAUGUAAAGCUCUAUCAGCAGGGAAGAAAGAAAUGACGGUACCUGACUAAGAAGCCCCGGCUAACUACGGGCCAGCAGCCGCGGGAAUACGUAGGGGGCAAGCGUUAUCCGGAUUUACUGGGUGUAAAGGGAGCGUAGACGGCGAUGCAAGUCUGAAGUGAAAGCCCGGGGCCCAACCCCGGGACUGCUCUUGGAACUGCGUGGCUGGAGUGCAGGAGGGGCAGGCGGAAUUCCUGGUGUAGCGGUGAAAUGCGUAGAUAUCAGGAGGAACACCGGUGGCGAAGGCGGCCUGCUGGACUGCAACUGACGUUGAGGCCCGAAAGCGUGGGGAGCAAACAGGAUUAGAUACCCGAGUAGUC
RNAcentral lists this ribosomal RNA (443 nucleotides) under uncultured bacterium. Its description in RNAcentral is "partial 16S ribosomal RNA". It matches the Rfam family "Bacterial small subunit ribosomal RNA", at positions 338 to 795 of the family's 1533-position model. The record is from RNAcentral.